Parasteatoda tepidariorum (common house spider) is the source of this 774-nucleotide non-coding RNA. Lineage: Eukaryota; Metazoa; Arthropoda; Arachnida; Araneae; Theridiidae. The record is from RefSeq and is a predicted model, not a curated record.
UUUUAGUUAACUCGAAGUUUUAUGUCGACAUGUCUUCUUUAAGAGCGACAUCUCGUUAAAUUCCAAGUAGAGGUAUAAGUAUUUACCUUUCAGAGUUUCUCUAGACAAGGUACGUGAAAGGUAUUUCAAAUUUGUUGGUUUUAAUUUAUGUCGCCGUAAUAUCUUAUAAUUACAUUUGUAAAACUAACUUUUUUGAUAAAUUUGACUCAAUAAUAUAUAUUUGAAUACAGCUAAAUAUAAAUUCCUAAGAUAACACGUUUAAAUAAAACAUGCAAAAUAUGUAAAAAUUAUAUGAAUAAUAAGUGCAAUGAUAUUAUUGAAUAUAUAAUGACAUAUUAUAACAGUGGAUAUCAUGAUAUAUGAAAGGAAAGUAACUACUUUUUUGAAAAUUUUGCCUCAUUUUAGAAAUGUAGAAUUACAUUCAGAAAUUUUUUUUUCUGAAUCCAUGCAUUGUAUAACUUGUAUAGAACAAUUUUUGGCAUUUCAGCUGCAAAAACUGUAAUCUAAAUGUUAUGAAAUUGCAUAAAAUAUGAUUUUUGCAGCGGCAGUAAAAAGUGUUGCAGAUACAGUCGGCGCUCUUGUUGGAGGAGCCGUCGGAGGAGUUGCUGCUGUUGUAAGCCAAGCUGUUGAUAUACUUGCGGACUUAUAAGCACGAUAUAUGACUUGAGAACGUACUCAAGAUAUUCGAUGACGGCAAGAAGCAUUCUAAAAAAAUUGGAUGCUAUGUAAAAAUUCAACUACAUUAAUAAAUAAAAUAUGUGUUCUUAAAAACAA